Molecule: long non-coding RNA, 463 nt
Filed under: Anser brachyrhynchus (Pink-footed goose)
Lineage: Eukaryota; Metazoa; Chordata; Aves; Anseriformes; Anatidae
Description: lncRNA (ENSABRG00000004345.1)
Source: RNAcentral
ACUCAAUCUGCUGCAUGACCUACUCUUUGGUUAUAAUGGGAUUUCUGACUUUAGUAGUUACUGCACCUUUUUGUCUUUUUAGUGCUCAAGCCCGCAGAUAACAUCCAGUGAUGCUAGUUUGCAGAGAGACAAUACUACAAGUUCCUUUCUUUAGAUUUAUGCAGUAGCCAUGUUUGUCAAAGUAUUUGGCACCGGUGACAUCAUCUUUGUUGAAAUGCCGGACAGCGUGAUGAGUCCCAGAUGUUAACACACACCAAAAGCAGAGAAAGAAUAAAAUCCAAAGAUAACUAUAACAGCUAUGGAGCUACUGCCAUCAGCAACAGUAGUGACAGCAGUCUCAGCCUGGAGCGCUACAUGGGGUCACAAGCCACCAUUGCAGACACUUGCGUAUGACUUGUGGUAUGUGGAUUGCAACUUGGGAAUGCCUGUGUUGGAGCUCUUAAUCCAUUUAAAUACAACUGUG